CUGUCUUUCUCGGCCUUUUGGCUAGGAUCAAGUGUAGUAUCUGUUCUUAUCAGUUCUUAUCAUUAGAUUGUCCCCUAUCUGGGGACCAUAUGUUAAAUGGAUAUUCUGAACAGGGAGAUGGAAGAAGAGAUUGCUCUGUCCACUCCAUGCUUUAGCCUAAUAUUACUGUUCCUCCAGGAGCGGUACUCCCUUC
Molecule: small nuclear RNA, 193 nt
Organism: Bombina bombina (fire-bellied toad)
Lineage: Eukaryota; Metazoa; Chordata; Amphibia; Anura; Bombinatoridae
Product: U2 spliceosomal RNA
Exons: 1
Source: RefSeq, a predicted model, not a curated record